This is a long non-coding RNA of Gossypium arboreum, 172 nucleotides long. RefSeq lists it as uncharacterized. The transcript has 3 exons. The record is from RefSeq and is a predicted model, not a curated record. NCBI's taxonomy places the organism in Eukaryota, Viridiplantae, Streptophyta, Magnoliopsida, Malvales, Malvaceae.
AUUUUGAUAACUUGGGCUUAAUGGGCCAAAGAUCGGGUUCAUGGGCCAACGGGCCCAAUUCGGUAAGUAUGCACGCCAUGCUGCAAAUUCUGUGGUGUGUAGCGGUUGGGUGGGUCGAGUUGUCUCCCCACAUGGUGUAAGGUAAUCCCCAACCAUAGUGGGCUUGGAGCUA